RNAcentral lists this ribosomal RNA (421 nucleotides) under uncultured bacterium. Its description in RNAcentral is "bacterial SSU rRNA". It matches the Rfam family "Bacterial small subunit ribosomal RNA", at positions 64 to 507 of the family's 1533-position model. The record is from RNAcentral.
GGACGCUUUCGGGGGUUUCGGCCUUCGAGGGAGUGGCGGACGGGUGAGUAGCGCGUGGGAACCUGCCCCUUUGUGGGGGAUAACCGAGGGAAACUUCGGCUAAUACCGCAUGCGCCCGCGGGGGAGACCUUGCGGGGAAAGAUUUAUCGCAGAGGGAGGGGCCCGCGUCGGAUUAGGUAGUUGGUGGGGUAAUGGCCUACCAAGCCGGUGAUCCGUAGCUGGUCUGAGAGGAUGAUCAGCCACACUGGGACUGAGACACGGCCCAGACUCCUACGGGAGGCAGCAGUGGGGAAUAUUGGACAAUGGGCGCAAGCCUGAUCCAGCAAUGCCGCGUGAGUGAUGAAGGCCUUAGGGUUGUAAAGCUCUUUCGGCGGGGACGAUGAUGACGGUACCCGCAGAAGAAGCCCCGGCUAACUUCGUG